This 497-nucleotide ribosomal RNA is filed under the name uncultured bacterium. RNAcentral's name for it is "partial 16S ribosomal RNA". It matches the Rfam family "Bacterial small subunit ribosomal RNA", at positions 28 to 507 of the family's 1533-position model. The record is from RNAcentral.
GAUGAACGCUGGCGGCGUGCCUAAUACAUGCAAGUCGAGCGAACGGACGAGAAGCUUGCUUCUCUGAUGUUAGCGGCGGACGGGUGAGUAACACGUGGAUAACCUACCUAUAAGACUGGGAUAACUUCGGGAAACCGUAGCUAAUACCGGAUAAUAUUUUGAACCGCAUGGUUCAAAAGUGAAAGACGGUCUUGCUGUCACUUAUAGAUGGAUCCGCGCUGCAUUAGCUAGUUGGUAAGGUAACGGCUUACCAAGGCAACGAUGCAUAGCCGACCUGCGAGGGUAGUCGGCCACACUGGAGCUGAGACACGGUCCAGACUCCUACGAGAGGCAGCAGUAGGGAAUCUUCCGCAAUGGGCGAAAGCCUGACGGAGCAACGCCGCGUGAGUGAUGAAGGUCUUCGGAUCGUAAGACUCUGUUAUUAGGGAAGAACAUAUGUGUAAGUAACUGUGCACAUCUUGACGGUACCUAAUCAGAAAGCCACGGCUAACUACGUG